RNAcentral lists this transfer RNA (69 nucleotides) under Nalassus laevioctostriatus. RNAcentral describes it as "tRNA-Gln". Lineage: Eukaryota; Metazoa; Arthropoda; Insecta; Coleoptera; Tenebrionidae. The record is from RNAcentral.
UAUGUUUUAGUAUAUGAUGUAUAAGGACUUUUGAUGUCUUGGGAAAUAGUUUAAUUCUAUUAAAUAUAA